Molecule: non-coding RNA, 71 nt
Organism: Necator americanus (New World hookworm)
Lineage: Eukaryota; Metazoa; Nematoda; Chromadorea; Rhabditida; Ancylostomatidae
Source: Rfam
GAAGCAGUGGUUCAGUGGUAGAAUGCACGCUUGCCAGGUGGGCGGCCCGGGUUCGAUUCCCGGCCGAUGCA